AUUGAACGCUGGCGGCAUGCCUAACACAUGCAAGUCGAACGGCAGCACAGCAGUAGCAAUACUGUGGGUGGCGAGUGGCGGACGGGUGAGGAAUACGUCGGAAUCUGCCCAGUCGUGGGGGAUAACUAGCCGAAAGGUUAGCUAAUACCGCAUACGACCGAGAGGUGAAAGCGGGGGACCGCAAGGCCUCGCGCGAUUGGAUGAGCCGACGUCGGAUUAGCUAGUUGGCGGGGUAAAGGCCCACCAAGGCGACGAUCCGUAGCUGGUCUGAGAGGAUGAUCAGCCACACUGGAACUGAGACACGGUCCAGACUCCUACGGGAGGCAGCAGUGGGGAAUAUUGGACAAUGGGCGCAAGCCUGAUCCAGCAAUGCCGCGUGUGUGAGAAAGGCCUCGUUGGUAAGUACGACGUUACUUACUACGUACGAAAGAACGUA
This 436-nucleotide ribosomal RNA is filed under the name uncultured bacterium. Its description in RNAcentral is "bacterial SSU rRNA". It matches the Rfam family "Bacterial small subunit ribosomal RNA", at positions 29 to 477 of the family's 1533-position model. The record is from RNAcentral.